Musa acuminata AAA Group (dessert banana) is the source of this 1153-nucleotide RNA transcript. RefSeq lists it as uncharacterized. The record is from RefSeq and is a predicted model, not a curated record. The transcript is spliced from 12 exons. NCBI's taxonomy places the organism in Eukaryota, Viridiplantae, Streptophyta, Magnoliopsida, Zingiberales, Musaceae.
CACGCGUCCGGCCGGCCUUUAACAAAAGCGACCACACCGGCGUGAACGGAGAGUUUAGGGCGAGGCGAGGGUUUUUGGCAGGCCGCGAUGCAGACUGCAAGGAGACGAUUCUUGCGGACCCUCCUCUUCGGCCGCUUCCCUCCUCCACCAUCGCCUGCCUCUUCAUCGAUAGCAACCCUCGUUCGCGGAUCGUUGGACAGAUCGCUGCCUUGCGCCACCCUCGCGGCACCGUGGUCCGCACUCCAAAGCCGAGGCGCUAAAGUGCUGGGCACCGAUGUGAGGAUUGGGAAUGUUAUACAAAGAAAAGGUCGUAUGUAUCAGGUACUAAAAGCACAACAUACACAACACGGAAGGGGAGGAGCCACAAUACAGGUGGAACUUCGAGAUGUUGAUACUGGGAACAAAAUAACUGAAAGAUUUCGCACUGAUGAAGCUCUUGAGAGAGUUUUUGUUGAGGAUAAGUCAUUCACAUACCUGUAUCAGGAAGGCGAGUUUGUAAUGCUAAUGGAGCCCAACACGUUUGAGCAGAUUGAAGUGCAGAAGGAGAUGUUUGGCAAGGCUUCUGCCUAUUUAAAAGAAGACAUGACAGUGAGACUGCAGUAUUAUGAUGGAAAACUGAUGUCUGCAUCAGUUCCUCAUCGUGUAACAUGCAAGGUUGUUGAAGCACAACCUAAUAUCAAAGGGCUAACAGCUGCUCCUCAGUACAAAAGGGUUGUAUUGGACAAUGGGCUCACAGUCCAUGCACCACCUUUUGUUGAAACUGGUGAGGAGAUCAUUAUUAAUACAACCGAUGACACAUAUAUUACAAGUGUUUUAAACAGGCACUUAGGUGAGGCGAGGUUCAAGCAUCUUGCGCAGUUGUCGAGCGACGUGCUUCAAUGAAGCGCUUCCUUGGCGCUCGCCUUAGUCGAAGCGCUAGGCGCCUCGGGCAAGUGCCCGAUUAAAGGGCAAAGGAGUAGCAUUUUCGAGGUAAAGCAUGCACCAUAGCCUAUUUAUUGACAGAGGGUGACUAGUUUCCCCAAGUGGCUCUAUCCAGUUAUAUUCCAUUAUGAGUUGUACAAUUGAGAUGCUUACUUUGUAAAAAGAAAUUUACCCUUCUUGUUUGAACUUUUGAGGAAAUUUGAUGAAUAAAAUAUUGAAAUAUUUGCUUAAA